This 382-nucleotide ribosomal RNA is filed under the name uncultured eukaryote. Its description in RNAcentral is "partial 18S ribosomal RNA". It matches the Rfam family "Eukaryotic small subunit ribosomal RNA", at positions 592 to 976 of the family's 1831-position model. The record is from RNAcentral.
UGUAAGCGUAUACCAAAGUUGUUGCAGUUAAAACGCUCGUAGUCGGAAUUUGGCAGUUCCGGAAGUGUGCACGUCGUGUGCGCACUUUGCGGGGACUGCUUUUGUGGUCUUGCGUAGGAUGAGGCACUUUCAUUAGUGAACGUCCUCACGCAACCACUCUUUACUGUGAGAAAAUCAGAGUGCUCAAAGCAGGCAUUUGCCGUGAAUGUAUUAGCAUGGAAUAAUAGAAUAGGACUCGGUUCUAUUUUGUUGGUUUGUUGGGACUGAGUAAUGAUUAAGAGGGACAGUUGGGGGCAUUUGUAUUCCGGCGCUAGAGGUGAAAUUCUUAGAUUGCCGGAAGACAAACUGCUGCGAAAGCGUCUGCCAAGGAUGUUUACAUUGA